CAAGUUUGCCUCCUGUGUUCGGUUCAUGUUUGCGUGAAAAGCUUGUCUGAACCAUGUCUGAGUAUGAACAAGAAAGUUUCAGUCGGCGGCAAUUAAACAGCGCUGCGCUUUGCAGCUGGCGAGGAAGCAUUCUGCACCCAUCUACACCAAUCGAAUUCCAGAAUUCCAACGCCCUGGUUCUUACUCUAGUCUAGCAUAUUAACUAACUAGUAAACUUGCCUUCGUUGCUGUGAAGACCGGAAACCUGCACUGCAUUACAGGGUGUGUCGGAGCGUGUGGCCUCCCAGGGCGAGACACACAUUCUAAUGUGCCUUGUGCAGCACCUCCCUCUCGUGCUCCCUCUUCUCAGACAGCUGCUUCAAGAUCUGGGCCUCCUGGAACUGCAGGCUGAAAGAGAGAAGGCAGGCCGUGAGGAUGAGGAAGGGCUCGUAGACGCUCGUCCCGUGAGUCACACAGCCCGACAGGCUCGCUGGAGCUCGGAAUGUUGCGAGGGAACACACCAACAGCCUGGAAAACAGUGAUAAAAUACAAGCUGUUUGGACAUGACUUGAGCAGGGCCUGCUCGUGAACCCCUUGGACCCCGAAUGGAGCUCUGACGGGCCUCUCACUCCACGUGUCACAGUGAAUGAUCAUUAUACCAGACUGCGGCUGGUUAGCUGAGGUCAGGACUGGGCAGCGGUGCGGUGUGUCUAGACCUGGGUAUUUAUAAAUAAAAGCCUUUUGGCCAGUGCUGAUAAGAAUUUAGCCUCUCCGCAAUACCUCACCCUCCUGACGAAAAGCAAUAUCCGUCUGCUUGGUCUCAUGGCCUUUAAAACUGUCAAUAUGAUAAUUAAAGCGAGAAGAUUAAGGAGGUGAGAAGGUGGGGACGACGGGCAGAUCUGAAGAAUUUCAUUAAAGGUAAUUUAGAUAAACCAGAUGUGUGGAACAGCAGCAAGGUCACCCACUGAGUAAAAGGCCUUAUGCCCCAGAAGUGCUAGAUAGCACCACAGACUGGAAGAACCAGUGGUACUGAAUUGGAUUUGCAAUUGCAGAUGUUGCAUCCAGAAGGAAGGGAACCAGAACGGAACCCUGCAGUACGUAGGACCGUAACCGACGGUGACCCGUUUUCACGAAACCGCGUCAUUCCUCCGAUCGAGCUUCAGAACUCGGCGAGCGCACGUAUGUGCAAACGUCGCAGGGCAAACGUUCGAUAUUUCAUCCCGUCGGUUCCCGUUUGAUCUCCCCGUGGCGUUUUGUCAUUUCCUGUGAGGGGGGGGAUCGAUGGCGACGAGGGGCAGAGGGCGCGGAGCGGAAAUUAGCGCUGCGACCUCGAGGACCUCAGUUUGCAACGCCACGAGGGCCUUAUCUUUGGGCGAACCUUCCGAGACGCAUCGGCACAUUUUUUUCUCGCCUAGCCAACAUUUGUCUGGUUGGGUGACCCGCCACGGCCGCAGGAAGCCGUCUUUCAUCCUUACGUUCCUUCGCCAAAGCCAAACCUGCGGCGAAUGACCGCGGCGAGUACAGCGGCAAUGUGUGAUGUGCGCUUCCCAUACCUACCGCUCCUGUGCUAUGAGCACAGUGGAGCAGGCUGCUUCAGUAUGGGAAUGUGGGCUGUAUUUUACACAAUAGGCAAACCAUGGUUAAAACACCAAAAUAUCAGUGCUGAGGAAGUGAAGGUCACGGGCCAGUUGUUUAUUUUCUACCGGCCUCUUUAAUAUCCUGGCUCUGCCACACCGGGUCCACCCUCUGUGUCCCUGUUCCACAGCCUUUCAGUGCUCUUGCAAUAUUAAUUACUACAGCCUGUUGAGGUGGAUUGAUUCUGUGUUGUUCACAUACGAGUGGAAAGGACUUGCUAAGUAGCUGUUGUUUGGGGGAAUGGCGAACAAUGAGGCCAGGCUGUGGCUGGCUGUCCAUUGAAACCUCUCAAUUGUCUUCUUGGCCACCAACCCCGCUGUUGAAAUGUCAGAGAGAAAAAACCUAUUGAUUAAUUGAUGCGCUCUGAGAAAUAUUGGCUUUCAGUUUGUUCAGGCCUGGGGAUACUUGAAUUCUCAGUGUCUAAAUGAUUUCAAAUCCAGUAACCCUUUCUAAAGAAUACCCAUCCCCAAAUUUUAUCUAACAGGCCUGAAAGAAAAAAGAAAACAAAACCUGGAAGAAACACCAUUUUGAUUUCAUAGCCACACUCACAGUCACUGGACAAUGGAUCAGUCUGCAUGUGAAACAAAACAUGCCUCCAAUUACACCACUAAAGAUCACUUGUCCUUUACAACUGCGCCCGUAAUCAUAGAACUAAAGGUCAGUCAACCUUUACCACAACUGCUCUCAGAAAAUGGACUACUUUAAUCAGGCGUAGACUCAUGAAUACGUGACAGGAACUCACUCUUUUCUGGCCAUGCUAAGGUUUAGUGGACAUGCAGGUGCUGUGCUUUUAUUUAACACGCAUAUUAUGUUAAAUUUCCCAUAUUAUUGAGAAAUGAAAACAGUCAAAUGUCCCCCAUGCAGUAAUACGCACAACUAUUACCUUUAGAAUUCCUAUAGGUCGCAGCGUAGUUAGUAGCACUACAGCCCAACCUGCACGAUCUUUCAUUAAGCCUUUUAAAAUGGCUGAUCCCCUUUAUCCCUUCAUUCCAAUUCUGGAAGCGAGUGAGGCAGAUGAAAAGAAACAACCUAUUUCAAAUCUUAAUGAGAGGUGAAAAUGAAAGCCUUUUGAUCGUUACCCUCCGUGAACACCAGAGCGCUUUAAUGACCAAUUUCAUCCACAAAUGGCUUGGGACUGACCUGCCAGGGCACCGCCCCUCCCCCCCCCCCUUCGACCUGUAAAUGUGGACAUUUUUACUCUCUCUUUCUGUCUCAGGUAAGUGAAAAUUCACGAGGCAUGAUGUGCCUGAAACAUAGGCCGACUGCUGUCGCACACCACAUAAAUAACCCUGAAAGUCACAAUGCCAGUCCUGGAGCAUAUUAACCCACUUUAAAUAGCAUUUGAGAUACCAGUGGUAGGAGCUGCAGGACAAAGUUAAGCACUUUCCCUGCCAUUCUGAAGUAUAGUGCAUUUUUAUCAUCCUGCUGUGUUGCCCUAUAACUUGUCUUAGUCUAAAGCAUUCAGGACGCUAUUGUAUAGCCUUCAUAAAUGCCAGGGUUUUUUUUUUUUCUAGAAUGGAUCAACAGUAAGUCAUGAGACCAAAUGCAGAGCGGUGAUUACUGGGAAAUUUGUAUUUUUUAAACCUUAUUUAUUUUCUUUCAUGCACAGUUUGGCCACAAUUU
This is a long non-coding RNA of Anguilla rostrata (American eel), 3237 nucleotides long. RefSeq lists it as uncharacterized. NCBI's taxonomy places the organism in Eukaryota, Metazoa, Chordata, Actinopteri, Anguilliformes, Anguillidae. The record is from RefSeq and is a predicted model, not a curated record. The transcript has 4 exons.